ACAAUAUUCUGACCGUCGGUCCACCGAGCAAUAUCACCCGCUCGGUGGAAGAUCUUUCCUGUCGUCGU
Molecule: microRNA precursor, 68 nt
Filed under: Bombyx mori (domestic silkworm)
Lineage: Eukaryota; Metazoa; Arthropoda; Insecta; Lepidoptera; Bombycidae
Description: mir-2774 microRNA precursor family
Rfam family: mir-2774 microRNA precursor family
Source: Rfam by way of RNAcentral